Molecule: long non-coding RNA, 798 nt
Filed under: Hordeum vulgare
Lineage: Eukaryota; Viridiplantae; Streptophyta; Magnoliopsida; Poales; Poaceae
Description: long non-coding RNA (HVUL_LNC020343)
Source: RNAcentral
CUCAUCCUUAUAAGUCGUGUUACUUUUCCUCCCACAACCGAUGUGUGACUAAACCCAACACAAAGAGGCGUAGUUCACAUGCAAGGAAAAGCAUAUAAGCUAGCCUAGGAGAUACAUGGCAGAAGAAGGAAAUAAAGAAAACAAUAGGAAUAGGAGGUUUUGGGAAAGAGGUGGCCAUUUCUCUGUACAAAUACCUUCGUAUAAACUUGUGAGGAUGCUCCCGCGAUGAGCCCGCUUGUGCUCUAGAUCAUUGUUAAGAACUUAUAAUCAAACUUGCAGAGAAUGUGGUCAGUCUUUAGCCUGCACCCCUGAAGAGCAACAUCCAUUUGAAUGUUCAAGUAUCGAACUUGCUUAUUGGAAAAGACACAGAUGGCACCCGCGCACGCUCUCGAUCUGUACUCAGCUAAUCUUGAGUCUUGACACUGUCUUUCCCUGCAACCAGACAUCUUGUUGACGCAUGGCAGUACGAUCACGUUCUAGGGUGCAGCCAGCUGGCCGGAGAGCUAGAAAAAGCAUGGACCGGCACUCGGGUAAUUAGUUGAGCAGAUGAACAUGAUUUGAAUUGAACUUGUUUUUUUCCUAUUAAUCAAGCUUGAAAGUAAGUUGCCUCCUCACAUAUUGGCCUCGCAGGAGCAUGCCGUGCCCAUCCCAACUUUGUGGCAUUCUCAUAUAUAUUAUCAUAUAGAAAAAAGGACUCUUGCGCUUGCCGGUUACUACCACAAAUUCAUGUGGAAUUUAAUAUUAUUAUUUUCACAUGCUCACCAAUCUAUGAUCUAUCUAUCUAUCUAUCUAUCUAUU